Molecule: long non-coding RNA, 1298 nt
Filed under: Gossypium barbadense (sea-island cotton)
Lineage: Eukaryota; Viridiplantae; Streptophyta; Magnoliopsida; Malvales; Malvaceae
Description: long non-coding RNA (GBAR_LNC000907)
Source: RNAcentral
AAUUUAGAGGGAUAGAAAAAUUAUUUUUACCUAAAAUUUGUCAAGCCUUAUAAAAGAAACCAUUUACUAUUUCUUCUUUAAGUUGAAGCAUGGAAUCUUUCAAGUUUUUAAUUUAUGAAUGAUACUAAAAUUUUAUUUUUUUUUAUAGAGAGAUAGAUAUUGUUGAUGUAUGAGUUUAAUAAGAAGGAGAUACAAAAGAAAAUAUGUGAUAGUGUUGAUGGAAGCUCGUUCACCCUCUCUAGCGAAGGGUUGGAGAGUAAAGAGAGUGGACAUGAUGGAAGUGGAGGAUAAAGUGGCAGAGUGCAAGAUAAAGUGUUUGGAGAGUCGAUCUCUGCUCCAUCAUUUUGGGGACUAUUUAUAGGUGUGGUCCCAUGUUAAGUAACAUUAACGUGGCGGAUUCGCUAUCAGACCAUCAUUGUAGGACCCAUGGGGUGGAUGUCCAUGAUGGGACGAGUAUCCUUGUGAUAGAAUGUAUUUUGUCAUUCCUUUUAAUUCAUUGUACAAAAUGGUUGAACGCAUGUUAAGUUUGUGACCUAAAGGAUCACGUUCUUAACAAAAGACUGAGUGCCUGAAGGAACGAGUGGUGGUCUCCUUUCGUAAAGAACAAGUGACUUUUUUCCUCGAGCAACUGCCUCCUACCAAGCCGGAUAGCUAAGUCGGAAGGUAGAGCUUCUGAUGGUCUCUUGGUUCUUCUUGGGUGGGGACACUCCUCAAAUGACCUAUCGCACUGUAACGUAUCCUAAGUUAAAAGAGGUAUAACAAAUUCCCAUGCUCAUGAGACAAAUCUAUGAUUGUAUCAACAAAUUCAACAGAAUUAACGUGAAUUAUUACGCAUAUAUAAUAAAUAAUCAUUAAGAAAGAAAACUGUUCUACAUUUAGACAUUGGGUAUUGAUUAAUAUCCCUACCAGAGUCUGUGAACCACAGCCAUAAGAAUGAAGUUCAUAAAUUAUACCAACCUAAUUUGGGACUCAUAACAAGUAGCAUAUCUCCAUCUUGCAGCAGGGAAAUCAAUUUUAUUGCCAUCCUUAAUUAAUGAACAUUUGUGGUGAGACCCCCCGGGUAGAGACCCUAGUGGCCCAGUCAAAUACUUGUUUUGUAAGCAAGCAGCUGUAUCAUAAUACUUGGCAAUCCCUGAUGCCAUACCAGUGUUAUCAACAAACUUGCCGUCGCCAUCACUGUUACCACCUUGGUCUGCUAGGAAGGAAUAUCAUCAAUUAUUUUCCCCACCACCUUAUAAAUUUAGGUGAACUGCCAAAUACUCUGAUAAUUAUUAGUCAUUUAUAUAUGUGGAAUCAAU